UCCCUGGUGGCUCAGAGGGUAAAGCGUCUGCCUCCAAUGCAGGAGACCUGGGUUCGAUCCCUGGGUGGGGAA
Molecule: transfer RNA, 72 nt
Filed under: Ovis aries (sheep)
Lineage: Eukaryota; Metazoa; Chordata; Mammalia; Artiodactyla; Bovidae
Rfam family: tRNA
About the family: Transfer RNA (tRNA) molecules are approximately 80 nucleotides in length. Their secondary structure includes four short double-helical elements and three loops (D, anti-codon, and T loops).
Source: Rfam by way of RNAcentral